GGAGCGACCAAGGUCACAAGAUGAUGUUCACCCAAAAGAGGUCACAAAGGAACGACCAAGAUCACCAUUGCGACCAAGGUCACAAGACGGUGUUCACUCAAAAGAGGCCACAAAGGAUCACAAGAUGGUGUUAACCCAAAAGAGGUCACAAAAAAGCUUCAUCCAAAACUUAUUAGCUUAUGCCGAAGACAGACUUUACCCAGCCAAAACUUCAAUUCUUGUUCUAGGGUUACAAAGACAUCUUCACCCAAAUUCAUUAUGGAUUUUCCUGUAACUCAAAAUAUUGUAUUGGAAUGAAUUACAAAAUCAAUAAAAAUAAGCUACUGACCUA
Long non-coding RNA from Ipomoea nil (Japanese morning glory), 331 nucleotides. RefSeq lists it as uncharacterized. The record is from RefSeq and is a predicted model, not a curated record. Lineage: Eukaryota; Viridiplantae; Streptophyta; Magnoliopsida; Solanales; Convolvulaceae. The transcript is spliced from 2 exons.